GAAGCUCUACUAUAUAUAUCUCUCCUGCUCGGCUAUUGGAAGACAGAACUUGGAAAAGCUUUAAUUAGUCUCAUACGUUCUAUUCAAUAGCGAUUCUGAGUUUCUUUCCAGCAACCCUUUUGUAUUGUUCUUAAAUUGUAUUAUCCUGGAGACUUGAUAGUCGGUAAUCAAUAUCCUUGUUCUUAGUUUAAGCCGUGUAUCGGCUUGGUCUAUCUAGAGUUGAUAGGAUCUGUUUGUAGACAAGCUUUCAAGGCUGCAGUAGUGCAGAGGUCUCAGUGGUGAGAAGGAUUGCAGAGGUGC
RNAcentral lists this long non-coding RNA (300 nucleotides) under Panax ginseng (ginseng). Its description in RNAcentral is "long non-coding RNA (PGIN_LNC002099)". The record is from RNAcentral. Lineage: Eukaryota; Viridiplantae; Streptophyta; Magnoliopsida; Apiales; Araliaceae.